AAUUAAGCCCUAAAGUGCCAUGAGUGUAUAAUAAGGCAGAGAGAAUAGAGGCAAAGAGAUCUCAAUGGGACAAGUGCCCACCUCUUUGUUUCACUCAUAAACUUGCUACUUGAUACUUCUUCCUUCCUUCACCUACUUCAUUCUCCUAAUAAUUCACUACAGGAAAUAUUAGCUUGGAAAUUAUCAAGAAUCAAAGUGCAGUGUUCUUUCCAGAAAUUAAUAGAUCUUUCAAGCCAUCACAAAUAAAGGAAUGUGCAUCUGGGCUUGUGCAGGGGAGAUAGCACCAUGAUGGGCCUUGGGCCCAUAGUCAAUAAUGAAACAUUGUGUAGUUCUUUUGCUUACAAAAAUGUUUCAAUUAAAUGUUGUUCAUCAAUAUGGAGCAACUACAUACAAAGAAACUCUCUACCAUUGCUCAAUUUCUCUAAGCACAAGGACAAUAAAAUAUUAUAUGUUGCUGCUCUUUGCAUCUUGGUGUUGCUUCUUCAAGGCUGUGAUGGAUAACUGUGGGAGCAUAUAUCAAAUUUCAUUUAUGACUUAUAACUAAGUUCAUGAAUGAAAAUGGUCAUAAUUAUCAAACCAAAAUACCCUCUUGUACAGAACAAGGAUAUAACCCUACCGAUGACUCCUUUCGUUUUUAUACAUAAGUAAAUUUUUAUUUUUUAAGUUCAUUCAAUUAUUAAUAUAAUUGAUUCAUAUUAUGGACCAAAUAUAUUAAUAAUUGAAUAAAUUUAAAAAAUAAAAAUUUAUUUAUAUAUAAAACCGGAUGAAAUAUGUUUUUUUGGUAAGGUUCUUGUGCUGUUGCUGAAGAGAGUUCCCCUUGACAACUUCAAAUUUGACUUUGUUUUUAAAUAUUUGCUGAUCAGUACUAAACUUGAUCACGGCUUUAGUCUAUUUUUGUACUUUUAUUGUUGUAAUAGUACUUAUGAGAUUUAUCUUCUAGAACCAUCUUUGGAAAUGUAAUAAAUUUUAUAUUAUUUAUGUUUACUUAUUGCCGUGUGAGAUUA
Trifolium pratense (red clover) is the source of this 1004-nucleotide long non-coding RNA. RefSeq lists it as uncharacterized. The transcript has 4 exons. NCBI's taxonomy places the organism in Eukaryota, Viridiplantae, Streptophyta, Magnoliopsida, Fabales, Fabaceae. The record is from RefSeq and is a predicted model, not a curated record.